GUUUUGCUCUGCGCAUUCUGUGAGAAUUAGCAUGUUAGUGAGAUAAUCCGUCCCUUAUUGCUCAGUGAGGAGACAUGACAAAUCAGUUCUGGCUUAUGCUCCUUAUGAAUCUGUCUUCGAGGCUGCAUUGGAGGAUUUAGAUAUUGCUUUCUUUGAGUAAGAUACAGCCGUAUCAGUUUGAACCACAAAAGGUUACAGCUCCCUCCAGAACCCAGUUAGACUCUUGGCAAGCAUUAGAGGGAUGUGAGGAUGACAGACGGCUAAAAGAUGCCAAUUAAUUAAUUGCCAGUGAACUGAGGAACCCACUAGUCACCCAGCUGCACUCUGGAUGUUCAUAGAAUCAUAGAACUGGAAAGGACCUCGAGAGGUCAUCUAGUCCAGUCCCCUGCACUCCAGAGACUUCAUUGCAGAUCUGGCCAAGCAGCAAGGAAAUCAUCGCAUGUUUCCUGUACAACGGGAACAUGGGAGGACCAAGGCACUUGGGUGAGGAUGGUAUUGAGCACCUCCAGCGUAAUGACGAGGGACAGGUCAAUGCAAAGGGAACAGCUGCGUGGAGGUGUGCAGAUGGUCAGUCACCUAUGGGGUUCCUACUCCUGAUGGCCAAUCUGGGCUUCUUCCCAGCCUACAAUGCAGAAUGCUUGUUACAAGCUGAUGUCCAUUGAGCCGUGUAUCCUUUUUUUUUUUUUUUUGGUAAUUCAACUGUGCUGGGAUCCUAAUGGCUACAGCAUGUCUGGGUGGCAAGGAGAGAGCUAGGAGCAGGGGCAAGGGGGAAUAGCCUUUGUGUGGCUCACAAUGAGAGGCAAUGGUAAAGGUCACGGUUAGUGAUGGUCCCUGUAUCCCAGUGUAACACCGACAGACCCCAGUCAUCUGCAGGCAGGAUCAAACCUGGGACCUCUGGAGCUAAAUGCAUGAGCCUCUCUACUGCAUGAGCUAAAAAACACAUGGCCCUUAGCUAAGGCUGUAGCAGACUCAUUAAUCUCUAAGUGGUCUCGGUGCCACUAGAGGGGACAGAACACCACACCAGGGAGGUGUGUGGGUUACACAAACACCCUGUGCUUUGUGAGCAUUUGCAGACAGAACCUGAAUCCAGAUUUUGAAAAUGGACCCUGAAUAGGCUGAGGCAAAUUCCCUGGACCCUAAAACCCUUGAAAUUUGGGGCUCAAAAUCGAGCCCCUUGCCACUAGAAUCUGCUGUGGCCCAGCAUGCUGAUUCUGCCAGCGUACAAAGGAGAUUCCCUGGGCAGCACAGGGCCCAUAGAACAGCCCUACACUGCUUCCUGACCACUUGCUGUCCCUUACGUAGAGUCACACUGGAGAUGAGGUUGGGAGGGACAUCUCAGGGAAAGAAGGAGUUGAGGCUGGAACACAUUGUGCUCUGGCUAUUGUGGGAUUCUGGAAUGGUCCAUAGGAAGCCAUUGCAACAAAAGCAAUCCCUGAGGCUGCUCUAAGUUACACUGAGGACAUCUGUGGUCCCUGGUUGGCUCCAGAAUAUGGGGGCUGCACAGCCACUUCUGUACCCUUUCCACCACAAGUCCUGCUCAGAGCCCAGACCUAAAAACAUUUUUUUUAUAACUUGAGCCUAGUUAUAGUAUGCAUCACUGGAACAUGUAAUACUAGGGGCAGUAUGGUCCAGCGAAUAGGGCAGGCGCAGAAUUCAUGUACCCAGAGUUGUACUCCUGGCUUUGAAGCUGACUUGCUUGACCUUGGGCAAAUCUAUCUCCCUGUGCCUCUGUUUAACCCAUCUGUAAAAUGGGCUUAUGAUUCGUAGAUUCAUAGACAUUUAGGUCAGAAGGGACCAUUAUAAUCAUCUAUUCUGACCCCCUGCACAACGCAAUGCAUGACCCUCACCUGCAUUCCGUUCACAACUGACUCCAUGCAACAUUGCCAACAUUGCCAACCCCAAGUGUUCAAACAGCAUUGUUGGGACCAAAAAUAUAAUGAGUAGCCUAACAAUAAUUAUGAUGCUUUUUUCCCCCAAGCUCUGUAACCAAGAGGGCUAGAAAUGUUUUUUAAUGAAAACUGAGAUUUUCCCAUAAUCACCUGACUCCAGGAGUUGGGGCUUUUAAGAAGAACACCAAGUGUUAUGACAAAAGUGCAAGCUGGCAACACAAUGUGUGAUCUUGUGCAUGUCACUUAACUCAGUGUCUCUCAGUCUUCCCAGACUACCAUACCACUUUCAGGAGUCUGUUUUGUCUUGCGUGCCCCCAAGUUUCACCUCACUUAAAAACUACUUCCUUACAAAGUCAGACAUAAAAAUACAAAAGUGUCACAGCACACUAGUACUGAAAAAUUGCUUCCUUUCUCAUUUUUAGAAUAUAAUUAUAAAAUAAAUCAAUGGGAAUAUAUUAUACUUACAUUUCAGUGUAUAGUAGAUAGAGCAAUAUAAACAAAUGACUGUAUGAAUUUUUAGUUUGUACUGAUGUUGCUAGUGCUUUUUAUGUAGCCUGUUGUAAAACUAGGCAAAUAUCUAGAUGAGUUGAUGUGCCCCUUGGAAGACCUCUGCAAGCCCUGAGGGGUACAUGAACCCCUGACUUAAUCAUUCUCUAUCUUAGCGUCUCCACCUGUAAACUGGAGAAAAUGCCAUUUGCCCACCUCUGUGUAAUGCACUUGGAGAUCUAUGCCCCAUAAAGGCUAAGUAUUUUUAUUAACUAUUAUUCUAUACAUAUUUUUGGAGAACGCACCUCACAUAUGUAUGACUUAAGUUCUUUCAGAGCUUUUUGCUUAACUUUAAAGUUAAGUACAUGCUUAAGUGCUUUCCUGAAUCUGGGUCUUAAAGAGGAAUAUUUCAGACAUGAGAUUCUAUUCUGUUUUUUUUCCUAUUCUGUACAACAGGCAAAGGUUUUAUGUUUUCUCUAUCAUCAUCUGUGUUUAAUACCAAUGUGUGUAUAUUGUUUUGCUAUAACGUUUUGUACAGUAGGCCAGUUUAGUCUGGGGAUUUUGUCGUUCGGCUUUGCCCCAAAUAGGAAAGUAAUGCACUUAUAAAAUCAAGUCUUUGUAGAUGCUUUGUAAAACUGGUUUGUGCCCUAGUGCUGAGGAGUUCCUUGAAAUCCCGUCUUUCUUCUAUUAGUGGGUAGAGGUUUUUUUAAAUAAGAAUAAUGCUUAAUUGUUUCAUCUGACGUGAAUGAGAAAUGAGAAACAGCAGCCAAAGCUGAAAUAAAGUCUCUUUUUAGGAGCUGAAAAGAAGAUAGAAGUUAAAAUAUGCAAGUAUGUUGUAGAGCAAGAAAACUGUGAGCUCUAUCAGAAUUAACUAGUGAGAGCUGUUCUUCGUCUCCACCAUACAGCAGAGGGGAUAGACUCCCAGAGCUCCUAUCGAAAGGCUAUUUUAUUUUGGCGAAGACUUGCACAAACUCGAACAAUCACUCCAAUGCAGUGUUUCUCACAGAGUAGAUUACUGCUCCCUGAGGGGGCACAAAGGACUAGCCAGGGGCACAAACAGACCUCUCAAUUGUUCUCUAGUCUCGGCUUUCAUUUAAAAAAAAAUAAAGUAAGUAUCUAGUUCUUUUGUUGAGAAGAAAAUCUUCACAGCCUGAGGCCUGGCCCACACUUGGAAGGCUAGGCUGAUAUUGCUCCACUGGUGUACUAUCCCAGCAAAGCGCUUCUAGUGUGGACGCAGCUCAUUCUGGCAAAAGCCCUCCAUAGUGGCAUACUCCAGGAUCAUACUGGGAAAAGCUUUUGCCAGCAUAGCUAUGGUGGUCACAAGUUACAUCUUGGCACACUCCUGACUCACACAGCCAUGCAAGAAAACGUUUGUAGUGUAGCCUUGACCUUAGUUUGAAGAGAGCCUGAAACAAUAGCUCUGAAGUUUGAACUUUCCCAUUCCCUUCAGCUCAGAUUCCAGUAAUAUUGCUUUAAAGGUCAGCAUUGUUCACCAUUUCACUGCUCACCAAAGUGGGUAAGAAAGGAAAGGAGGACUCACAGCUUGGAGAUCCCCACCUGGGCGGGUGGGGCAAGGAAGAUGUCUGAAUUCAGAUGUAUUUGGGCCUUUAACAACAUGUUGCAGGGUUGCAGAGCAGUGACUGGUUUUAUUUUUCUGAAGGCAGAGGGGGCUCAGCUUUCCAGCGUUUGGGAAAUGUUCUUCUAACUGAAAUCAACAUUUGCUUAAUGGGAGUUGAGUGUCUAUAAGUAAAUUGAGGGUGUGUGUGCCUCUUUAGGACUAGACUGUGUCAUAGAGGCAUGGCCCAGAGUUGGGGAGACUUGAGGGGAAGAGGAUUGAAGAGAUGCAGUCCCUCCCAAGCUCCCUGGUUUGCUGGGGAAGUGAGUGGGCUACACCACUAACCCCAUUGACUUCAGUGGGUGUUGGAUUGGGCCUUCACCCUUUUAAGAAGGGCUGUAGGCACUAAAGCCACCACUAAGGGCCUUAUUCUUGCAUAGGAGUUCAGGGGCUUGGAGAGGAGAGUGCAGGGAGCCCACCUUUCCCUUGUGUGCCCUGAGCAAAGACCAAGGAUCUUUAACGUAGCUAGAGUUUACUCAGGAUAGUUCUUAAGGCCUGAUCCUCUGCGUGGCAAGGAGAGGGCCCUUAGUGUGGGAAAGGAAAAGGAGGAAAGCCCAAUCCUGCCAGUGGGGAUUGGGCCCAAAGUGAUGGAAAAAAACAUGCAGCUCUCAGGGGAGAAAAGCUAACUUUUAUUUUGCCCUUACGAGGGCUGACCCAAGCAACCUGGCUGUUUAUACGUCUGCUGGGUUAAAUGAGCAUGAUGAUCACUUUACUAAAGUGGAGAUAUUCCUGUGCUGCCUCUUAAAGAAAGCAAUUACUGCAUCUAUGGUCAGUAUAUUAGCUGACACCAUUUAAUUAAAGCCUAAUUUACCUGUGAAUGAAACU
Long non-coding RNA from Chelonia mydas (Green sea turtle), 4815 nucleotides. RefSeq lists it as uncharacterized. The transcript is spliced from 4 exons. The record is from RefSeq and is a predicted model, not a curated record. NCBI's taxonomy places the organism in Eukaryota, Metazoa, Chordata, Testudines, Cheloniidae.